Molecule: long non-coding RNA, 2055 nt
Filed under: Struthio camelus australis
Lineage: Eukaryota; Metazoa; Chordata; Aves; Struthioniformes; Struthionidae
Description: lncRNA (ENSSCUG00000004114.1)
Source: RNAcentral
UUCGUUGCGGAGGGCGUGCCCCCCCGUUCCGCCGCUUGGCCGGGGCGCCCUGGAGAUGGCGGCUCGCCUUCCGCCCGUGCCUGGUCUCGCUGCGACGCUGCAGGUUGGCGCUUCCUUUUCGGCCCCUGCGUCCGAGGCGCCUCCAUUUCUGUGCUGUGGUAAAACCUAGAGGUCAUAAACGUUUGUUUAUCAACUGUUACCGUAACAGCGGAGGAGAAAGAAAGGCUGAGCAUCAGCAGCGGCGGUCUGUAAAUAUGUACUCCUGGCUACGUUAACUACAAUUAAAAGAACAUAAAAAGUAUGGAUAUGAGGACUGAAUUUGUCUUCAUUGUAAAUACACAUACGAUUCAGCUUAUUGCAUUUCAUAACACGUUCCAGCAUCUGAUCUCAAAAUUGCAGACAACUUUGAUGAAUUUAAAAAGGCGAUGCCUUAUAAAAUAUGCGGAACUGAAGUCUCAUGUCCAGAAAAAGCUCCCGUUGGUACAAGCUGCAGCCGCCCAUCUGCCUAGCAACACAGAUCAUCACAAACAAAUCAUCUAAGAGCACCCUGACUCCCAACGAAUGCUGAGUCCAAAUACGGUCUCUGUAUUGACAGUUCAAUCCUCUUCGUGCAAUUCUUUUUGCCAGCAUUAGGUACCUCCUUCGUGACCAUGACCUCUGAUCCGAGGUAUGUUCUGUUGGACUGAUGAGGCUGUUGGCUAAAAUAAUGAGACUUGCACAUGUGGUCAUCAGUGUUUCUAAAUGUCUGGACAAGUUACAACCAUUAGACAUGCCUUAGCCAAUUCAGAGCUAAAUACCAGCCUCAUCUCUUUGAUUCAGCUUUCCAAAAUCUGACACUGUGAUUUUGACCAGUACUUUAGUGUGAUUUUCCUUUCCCCUUUUAACCACUUUUAUCCCAAGAUUAAAAAAGGGAUUUAUCAUAGUUAAAUAGUAUUUGAGGGGAAGAUCAUGAAUCAUCAAGUGAUCAUCGCUCACAUUAUUUGUUUUGGUCAUAUUACUAGUUACAGGCAUGACUACAACCCUUCACAGGACCUGAUUUCAUCUGAUCAAUGAAAGUGAUAAGUUUUGCAGGCUGAGUAUCCACCUCAUAUGGAAUUAUUUUGGAAGAUUUCAGCAAAACCAGUUCAACAGUUCAAGCUCUAGCGCAAAGGCUUGCAAUUUGGCAGUGAGCGCUCUCAUCGUCAGGAUUAUGCUUCUUCUGUCCACUUGAAAAAUCCACCCCAAAUUUGGACAAACGAUGAGAGUGCAAAUUUUAGGCAACGUUUGGCCAACAGGAGGUCCUUCAGAGAGUAGCAGCUACGUUCUUUUGUUUGCACCGACUGCAUUCCAAGCUGAAAGUGUAGAAGCAAUGAAAGGGGAAAAAGGGUAAUGGGCUGUUCGAGGGAACACUGCUCUCCACAGACUUUAGGCCAGGACCCAGCUUACCUAUCAUCGUUCCUCGGCUGUCAGCAAAUACCUUUGGUACUCUUGGCAGAACGUAUGGCUUAUCUCCCUCCGAGGGCAGACCCAGACAAAUAAUGAUAACCUGUAUUGCUAUGAGUCAGUUUAAGUAGCAGUGGUCUGUGCUCUAGAUAAAGAGAUUCUCAUCCAAUGGAUAAAGUCUUUGGGAAUCACAACUGUUCCAUAUAGCAGAAUUUGGGAGGUUUUUUUUUUUUUUUGUAGCUUUCUUCGACUUCUAGGAACGUGUAGGUGUCGUUAAGAUUGCAGAGUUAAUGCAGUCUUAAUGACAAGCAAUCUUAAUCGACACAAGUUACGAAAUUAUGACAUUAAGGUUACUCUCUAAUUUUGAGAUGCUCUCUCUGCAUGUGCAUUUUAAUGACAAAACCAUACUGAGUAUUUCUUUCCUUUAAAGGAGUUCUCUUCUUUCUCCUUUUUUCUUUUCUUUGAACAUAUUUUUAUUCAGAAGAUAAGAAUUGAUUUAGAAACGUUUGCUAUUUGAUAUGACAGCUCAUUGUUACUUACUUAAUUUAUAUAAUUAUUAUUGUUGUUAGUUCAUGCAGUGCUGCAUUCAGCUACAAGAAUAAAAUUGAAGAGAUACAGUGUGCUUAUUCUUGA